UAGUGGAUGAUCCUAUGCUGCCGAGAAAAGCCUCUAGUGAGUGUUGUGGCGGCCCGUACCCUAAACCGACUCAGGUGGUCAGGUAGAGAAUACCAAGGCGAUCGGGUGAACUGUGGUUAAGGAACUCGGCAAAUUGCCCCCGUAACUUCGGGAGAAGGGGGACCUCUGCUGGUGAUGGGCUUUACGUUCUGAGCUGGUGGGGGUCGCAGUGGCCAGGGGGAAGCGACUGUUUACUAAAAACACAGGUCCGUGCGAAGUCGUAAGACGAUGUAUACGGACUGACGCCUGCCCGGUGCCGGAACGUUAAGGGGACCGCUUAGCCAACGCGAGUUGGCGAAGGUGAGAACUUAAGCGCCGGUAAACGGCGGUGGUAACUAUAACCAUCCUAAGGUAGCGAAAUUCCUUGUCGGGUAAGUUCCGACCUGCACGAAUGGCGUAACGACUUCCCCGCUGUCUCAACCACAGACCCGGCGAAAUUGCACUACGAGUAAAGAUGCUCGUUUCGCGCAGCAGGACGGAAAGACCCCGGGACCUUCACUACAGCUUGACAUUGGCGUUUGGAACGUCUUGUGUAGGAUAGGUGGGAGACUGGGAAGCUGUCACGCUAGUGAUGGUGGAGUCAUUGGUGAAAUACCACUCUGGUCGUUUUGAACGUCUAACUCUGGUCCGUGAUCCGGAUCGGGGACAGUGUCUGGUGGGUAGUUUAACUGGGGCGGUUGCCUCCUAAAGAGUAACGGAGGCGCCCAAAGGUUCCCUCAGCCUGGUUGGCAAUCAGGUGUUGAGUGUAAGUGCACAAGGGAGCUUGACUGUGAGACUGACAGGUCGAGCAGGAGCGAAAGCUGGGACUAGUGAUCCGGCAUCGGCGUGUGGAAGCGGUGUCGCUCAACGGCUAAAAGGUACCCCGGGGAUAACAGGCUGAUCUUCCCCAAGAGUCCAUAUCGACGGGAUGGUUUGGCACCUCGAUGUCGGCUCGUCGCAUCCUGGGGCUGGAGUAGUCCCAAGGGUUGGGCUGUUCGCCCAUUAAAGCGGUACGCGAGCUGGGUUUAGAACGUCGCGAGACAGUUCGGUCCCUAUCCGCUGCGCGCGCAGGAGACUUGAAGGGGGCUGUCCCUAGUACGAGAGGACCGGGACGGACGAACCUCUGGUGUGCCAGUUGUACCGCCAGGUGCACGGCUGGUUGGCUACGUUCGGAAGGGAUAACCGCUGAAAGCAUCUAAGCGGGAAGCUCGCCUUGAGAUGAGGUCUCCCACCCUGUGAGGGGGUAAGGCUCCCGGUAGAUCACCGGGUUGAUAGGCCGGAGGUGGAAGCACGGUAACGUGUGGAGCUGACCGGUACUAAUAGGCCGAGGACUUGACC
Molecule: ribosomal RNA, 1356 nt
Filed under: metagenome
Description: bacterial LSU rRNA
Rfam family: Bacterial large subunit ribosomal RNA
Source: RNAcentral